GGAGGGCAGCACGCGCUUCCCAAGUGCUGCUGUCAUCUUUGCCGUUCCCUUCGGGUUUUGCCGUUUCUUAAUAAAACAGUCACCAGGGGGAAGAGCACAGGGAAGUAGCAGCUUUCUGAAUUUCUCCAUUGUGAGUACCUGUGCUGCAGUGAUUUGAUUUGAGCAUAUGACUGCAGGAUAUUAUUUCAUAUCAUUCAAGUCAUUGGGGAUCCUGGAGAAAAUUCAAUUGCAGCAGGACCAGUCUUUGAAGAAUGUCACUCUCCGUGUAAGGUGACAGAAAACAGUGUCUAUGAAGGCAAGAUGCUGAGAAAUGUGGAAAAUAGAGGAGCACAACUGCGGGGAGUGGAGAGCGAUGUGGAGCAGGUUCACCUGUGGCAAGAUGCAGCUGGCAAAGAGUCAUGGAGCCUGAUCAAGCAGUCCAUUCAACCCAUACGUGUCCCAAGAACUUCAGGGGAAUAGCCUUUGUGAUUUUUUUUCACAUAAUUAAGAUUGUAUUGGGUUCUUAAACCUCUGUAUAAUCCAAUAAAGAAAAAAAUUAAAAGUUCGUUAAAUCCCCUGCAUUAAAAGAAAUCCUGCAACCUAGCUGUUUACCUCAAAAAGCUCUUUGUAGUGCCUGAUGCUCAUGUUUUGUAAGUGUUCCCUGAAGACCAUUAUUCAUCAGCACAG
This is a long non-coding RNA of Lepidothrix coronata (blue-crowned manakin), 666 nucleotides long. RefSeq lists it as uncharacterized. The transcript is spliced from 3 exons. The record is from RefSeq and is a predicted model, not a curated record. Lineage: Eukaryota; Metazoa; Chordata; Aves; Passeriformes; Pipridae.